AUGGUGAAAUGGGCAGACAUUUGCCUCCCCAAAGAUCGAGGCAGCCUCGAGAUCACCGACUCUCGCCGCAUGAAUAUAGCUCUUAUGAUGCAUUGGGUUUGGAGGAUUUUGCGUGGCGAUGGAGGUCUUUGGCUACAGCUCCUUGAGGUGAAAUAUCUUCGAGGAGAACCCUUGCUGGCUUGCUCUCGCUCCGCUGGUUCCCAGUUCUAG
RNAcentral lists this ribosomal RNA (210 nucleotides) under Triticum aestivum (bread wheat). RNAcentral describes it as "partial small subunit ribosomal RNA". Lineage: Eukaryota; Viridiplantae; Streptophyta; Magnoliopsida; Poales; Poaceae. The record is from RNAcentral.